CCAAAGUCAUUUCGAAGGCUUUUGCCUUGAGGGAUUUGCCCAUAACAAAGUGAGAAGAGAAAAGGAGAAAGAAAGAAAAGGAGAAAUAAAGAAAGUAAGAUAGGAGGACAAGGAAAAAAGAAAGGAAUGAUCGGCUUAGUGAACCCGAGACAAGGACGGUAAAGAGAUUUUCAUUUUUGCUUGAAAUGCAUGCUUUGUAAAUCAAUUGUAAUGUAUGAUUUUGUUUGUGGUCGCAAGAAUCUACAAGGAUUCAAGGGACCUGAGGCAUGCAUGUAGGUAGAUCUUGGAAUACAUGGUGAUUUUGGAGCUAAAUAAGAAAUGGCAAAGGUGACCUUAGAUGUGAGGAAGUUGUGAAUCAUAUAUGGAAAUUCAAGCUUAAACCGAGAGAUAAGUAAUCGGUUCAAGUGCAUCGCUCAGUACAUCGAGACUAGCUGCAACGUAGGUAAUGGCAUCUUUUAAACUUCUACUCCAAGUCUCUCUGUUGCAUAGAGGUCGUGUUGCAUCAAAUAGUUAGACUUAUAAAG
Molecule: long non-coding RNA, 524 nt
Organism: Theobroma umbraticum
Lineage: Eukaryota; Viridiplantae; Streptophyta; Magnoliopsida; Malvales; Malvaceae
Source: RefSeq, a predicted model, not a curated record